GUGGAUCGAUGGAAGAGGCGCGAGCAGGCGCCGCUCGCUCUGCGUUUUGCCCUUUCGCUGACUGGUCAAAGGAGGUGGCAACGGUACAAAAGUGUUGCGUGUGCUUCUGUUCCUACACCUUUCUCCUACCUUGCAAUGAGACAACACGCCGCCAAGGCUGUUUAACACGAUACGCCGGCUUAACGCAGGCCUAGCACCCAGUGCUGACUUCCCGAUACGUAUGUGCAGUUCACGUUUAAGCUGCUUGAACAACCGUCCCCAUCAUUCCAGAGGGGCCCCCAGCCCUCAUAGCAGAUCCACUGGGAAGGGGGGAUGAACCAACAAAACUCAACUUCCACCAGUGUGCUUUCCCCCCUAGAUCAAACUUUCCCAUGAACGCAAUCGUGAGUUGCUUAUAUUGGACCCAAACCGCUGACCUGGUUUUGCAUGGGUAAAGUAGCCAUGGUAAAGUGCCAUGCGUGCUGGGUGGGAUUUUGCAGCCACAGCUUAUCGUGACACUGGGUUUAUUCAAGGGUAGUUCAACCUUCACAUAACGCAUGGUCCCCAGGGUCAUACAAUAUUGUCUGCCAAGCAGCCCACUGUGGAUUAUGGGAUGUUCAAAUAUAUGAACUGCCUGUAUACCUCUGCUUAAGAAUAAACCUUUAAAAAACCA
This is a long non-coding RNA of Varanus komodoensis (Komodo dragon), 652 nucleotides long. RefSeq lists it as uncharacterized. The record is from RefSeq and is a predicted model, not a curated record. The transcript is spliced from 2 exons. Lineage: Eukaryota; Metazoa; Chordata; Lepidosauria; Squamata; Varanidae.